This 254-nucleotide ribosomal RNA is filed under the name uncultured bacterium. Its description in RNAcentral is "partial 16S ribosomal RNA". It matches the Rfam family "Bacterial small subunit ribosomal RNA", at positions 524 to 776 of the family's 1533-position model. The record is from RNAcentral.
UACAGAGGGGGCAAGCGUUGUUCGGAAUUACUGGGCGUAAAGGGCGCGUAGGCGGCCUGCUAAGUCGAACGUGAAAUCCCUGGGCUCAACCCAGGAACUGCGUCCGAUACUGGUUGGCUUGAAUCCGGGAGAGGGAUGUGGAAUUCCAGGUGUAGCGGUGAAAUGCGUAGAUAUCUGGAGGAACACCGGUGGCGAAGGCGGCAUCCUGGACCAACACUGACGCUGAGUGAGCGAAAGCCAGGGGAGCAAACAGG